Molecule: long non-coding RNA, 2229 nt
Organism: Numida meleagris (helmeted guineafowl)
Lineage: Eukaryota; Metazoa; Chordata; Aves; Galliformes; Numididae
Source: Ensembl
AAAACAUUGGCUUAAUUGACUCAAUUUCACACAGGCAUUUCCUGGGAAAGGAGCACUGUAACCUUUAAGGAAGAAUAUUUAUAUAGCCAAGAUAUUUUGUAGCCUACUAUUCUCAGUAUCCGUUAAAAAUGGUUAGCAGAUUCUUCUGUCAAGGACAUGCUAUGCUGCCAGGCUGCAACAAGAAUGCAGCAGAGACAAAGACAAGGAGAUUAAAGAGGUCAGGGGUAUUAGUCAUACAGCCCACUCUUUUUUUUAAGAGUGUAUUCUGUGGGACUAGUAGUCAAAUGAAUCAGCAGUAAGAUGAUGACAUGCAUGAUGACUGGAAACAUGCAUAAGAUAGUUUCACUGACAGAGGCAAAGAUGCUUGAUUUGGGAAGGACUGCCAUAAAUAGUGUAUUAGGCAUAGAAACCCUCUCCAAGUUUUUACAAGCCAGUGGAGGUGCUGGGACUAGGAGACCAAACCUUCUUCACAGUGGAUCCAUAACAUCUGAGAAUAAUCUGGUGAGUGGUGUGCUUAUCCCUUGGGAAGUGAGCUGCUUUACUCAUAUUGCUACCCAGAACAGCAGCUGAGAACAGUGGGAAAUCAAGUGCUGGCAUUUUUGUUGGCUUCACAUUAAGCAACAGGAGAAUAGGUUAUUUGCAAUGGAAUUCACACUAGGUAGUCAAGAUACAAAGAUCAGCAUCACUCAGCAACGGACUACAGGAGCAGAACUGAAAGAACAAGCAAGCAUUAAAUAAGAGAGUAUGUAUGCAGUUGUGCACACUGAGUGAGCAUCAUCGCGGAGCCACAGCAGCAUGCAGCCUGUGUGCUCUAUGCAUUACUGCUUCUUAUAACCUGCACACUUUGUACAGAUGGACUCAGGGGAGUGAAGGCUAUCCUUGAAAAUGUGAAAUUCUUUUGCGUGAUUUUUACAAGGCCCUUUGGAAUAACUGAAGUUCCCUCCUACUUGUCUGCGAACACAACUUGAGAUGACUUCCUUCUUUCUCGUUUGCCUUCCUUUCACAUAAUUCAUGUACUGCUUUAAAGCAUCUUGGAACAUAGAGAAAAUUUCUUUCUGCCCUGUGUUUCUGAGAUUUGAGUGGGAUAUAGAAGAGUUAAUUUGGAAAGGACCUAUGAAAAUCGAGUGGCCAUCUUGGACUAAAUUUCAUAAUGUAUAACAGAUAUUACUGUCUAUAAGACCAUAGAAUACUUCUCUGUAAAAUUUGUUUCCACAGUUGACUUGAUAAUGUCUAAGAAAAGGUCAUUUUAUUUUGUGUCAUGCAAGUAAGAAAUGAUUUUAUAAGGUCUUCUGCUUGCUUUCUUUAACUUAAUAAUAUUCCAUCCUUUACAUAAAUGAGUAGAACCAAAGGUAGGAUGCUUCUCUUCUCUUGUCUUUGGAAGGAUGAGGUACAAUGUUUACAGAUACCUGUUGGCGCAUUACAUCCAGUUGUAUAUGUUUCCUGCUAUUUAACAGCUAAUACGGAGUGUGAAGGACUGCUAUAGAUUAAAGUUGAAGUGAGAUGUUUCAUGAUUAAACUGAAAAUAACAUGCGCCUUCAUUCCUAAAGUAGUUGAUGUAGGACGAAGUACAUUCACUGAAGCCUGAAUGGCUGUCUGGGGACGCUUAGAAUGAAUCAGCUGUAAGUUUUCUGAAAGUCAUACAACACCCUCUAAUAUUGUUUUAUGCACACUGAGUCAAAUAGCCCAAUUCAUGUAGGAUUUCGGUCAAUACCUUUUGAAAAUGAAGCUCAAAUGAUCACUUAGGAAAGAAUAGUCCAUGAAGAACUUAUUUUUCCCGUGAGAAUGAGAAUAUGACUGCAGACGGUUACUUCUCCAUGAGCUGUAACAUACUAUGUUCCACCACAGAUAGCAGAUUGUUUGAAAUACAGUUUCAUGAAAUCAGGUGAUGAGAGCACUAUUUUUGAAUAAGUGUACUACUACAAAAUUAUGCUACUGUUGCCCUGCUAAGGAGUUCUUGAAAUCCAAACGGACUAUAAUUGCAGAAAUAAGAUACUAGUGCAUGGCACAGAAUGACAGAUAUCUGGUGAAAGACAGUAGGGCACCAAAUUUGAUGGAGAAUGGGAAGUGAAACCCUCUGCUCUCCACUUUUAUAUUGAAGGUGACUGAAUCUCAGUAUUUUCUCUUGCGUUUGAAAGGGUUGCCUGGAUGCUUGUGUACAAGUGUUUGUUUCUUUGUAGUGAUUAUGGCUUAAUAUGUGUAUUUCUAUUAAUAAAGUACACGCAAAAAGCA